CGGCUCAGUAACACGUGGAUAACCUACCCUCAGAUCUGGGAUAACUCCGGGAAACUGGAGAUAAUACCGGAUAAUCCGUGAACGCUGGAAUGCCUUACGGUUGAAAGCUUUAGCGUCUGAGGAUGGGUCUGCGGCCGAUUAGGUAGUUGCUGGGGUAACGUCCCAACAAGCCGAUAAUCGGUACGGGUUGUGAGAGCAAGAGCCCGGAGAUGGAUUCUGAGACACGAAUCCAGGUCCUACGGGGCGCAGCAGGCGCGAAAACUUUACACUGCGCGAAAGCGCGAUAAGGGGACCUCGAGUGCGUGCGCAAUGCGUACGCUUUUCAGAUGCCUAAAAAGCAUCUGGAAUAAGGGCCGGGCAAGACCGGUGCCAGCCGCCGCGGUAACACCGGCGGCUCAAGUGGUGGCCGCUAUUAUUGGGCUUAAAGGGUCCGUAGCCGGACCAGUUAGUCCCUUGGGAAAUCUUACGGCUUAACCGUAAGGCUGCCAAUGGAUACUGCUGGUCUUGGGACCGGGAGAGGCAAGAGGUACCUCAGGGGUAGGAGUGAAAUCCUGUAAUCCUUGAGGGACCGCCAGUGGCGAAGGCGUCUUGCUAGAACGGGUCCGACGGUGAGGGACGAAAGCUAGGGGCACGAACCGGAUUAGAUACCCGGGUAGUCCUAGCCGUAAACGAUGCGAGCUAGGUGUCACGUGGAUUGCGAAUC
Molecule: ribosomal RNA, 703 nt
Filed under: uncultured euryarchaeote
Lineage: Archaea; Methanobacteriati; Methanobacteriota
Description: bacterial SSU rRNA
Rfam family: Archaeal small subunit ribosomal RNA
Source: RNAcentral